ACAAUCUCCUGUUGAAAUCAGGUCAGACCAGGCUGCUCAGGACUUUAUCCAGUCAGGCCUUGGAAACCUACUGGAGUUGAGACUACAAUAAACAUUUGUGAUGGACUUCAGUCCUGGUGAGGAAAAGCACAGUAAAGGUUUUAAGUAUUAAGGCAUUGUUUUAUUUGUAAGUACAGAAAAAUAUAAAAACUACAAAGAAACUUAUAUGUAUAUUACUGUUACAUAGGUGUAUUGUUAUAUACAUACUCUAUUACUGUAUGUCCCAUCAGAUCCAGAGAAUUUACUCAGUAUGUUAACAGUGGACACAGCUGACUGAACAGCUGGGGAGUUGAUUCACUUCAUCCACACAUCUCUUUUUGUGUCAUAAGGGCUGCUUAACUUAAUAAUAAGGAACUUAAACUUUCUAUUGCCAGAUGCAGCACAGCUGGUUGACUAUGCAGACAGGCUGCUGCCACACAGAUUCCUUGGGUGCCAGCACAGACUAUGGAUAGGAGGCUGGUUGUUGGGGCACUCACCUAUGGAGUGAGAGAGUUGAUCUGCAGUUUUUGUCACCCUGAACCAGCUUCGAUAGAAGAGACUAUGAUGAAUCUCAGAAUUCCUGACAAACUGUUGCACAGAACCCUCCUGAGAGGGGACAGCUCUGGAUUUAACCAGAUACACCUGAGUAAAAGGUCUGAUUUAGCCAUGUUUGGAUGAAAUGGCAGCUCUUUCUGCAUGACACUGAUGUGGCAGACAUCUCAGAGUGAAUGAAGAUGUUGUUACUUGCCAUGUUUGAGUGAUGUUAAUCGUGGCUGUGACUGUGCAGAGCAGCAGCAGUUUGCCUGCUCAGGUCUUUGCAGAUGCCAACCCAGUGCCUGGGUUAGACAUGGCAAAAGUGAGAAUGUAAAGAUCCGUGGUUGAGGUGAAUGGGUUAUGUCAAGCACUUCUUACCCUUCCAGUGAUUGAUUCUCAUACACACAGAGUUCCUGUGCAUUGCUCAACAGACGCUUUAAGUUGUUACAGAACGUUAGGUUCUCAUCCCUCCCUACUUGAGUGUGUCAUUUGAUUUAACCUCAGCUGGUUUCCGGUGCCUGAAAUCUGCGACACACUCCCUUUAGUGGGGGUCAGACACAAGAGUCUGCCUGGCUUAAUCUAGUUUCAGCAUCGAGGCUGAUAAGAAGGAGAAGAGUCACAACCAUUAUUCAGAAUAUGCAAGUUAAGAAAAAAAAAAUCAAUGUGAAGAGUCUGUUCUUCUCUCUAAUCAUUCUGAACAGGUGCUUAAUUUUACAUGUAGCAGGCUGGGUGUGUGUGAUGAUAGCUUUUCUAUAAUUAACAACCUUUUGGUAGCUCUUGUAAAAAGUUAUUCCAGAGGAAUCGGUAGAAGCCAGAGAAUGAUUUCUUUCAGUGCUGAGAAUGGUGAUAUUGUGGUGCUGCCUCUGUAGCCCUUCAAGCCUGGGAGCAUUUCAUCAGCAUUUCAGGAGGUGUGCUAUCAGAAGGACAGAAUUCAGGAAUACAUCAAGUGCUCAUUUAGGGCCCCAAAUACAAAGAGGAGCUACUUGCUUAACUGUAACUAGCAGAAACCAGCCCUUUUCUAAUGCUGAUUAAUUCUGGUGUCCCCCCAUCAGAGGGACUAAGUGAAUUCACCUCCCUCUUUUAUCCCUUCUCUUUCCAAGUAACCUCAGUCCUGACUAUUUUGUGGAACCUCCUGUGUUUAACCUCUCUGCUGUCACCUCAUAUUGAGGUGUGAGGUUUUUUCCCACUGAGCACCACAGUGAGUUGCAGAAAGAAAAGAAAAGUUUUCUAAGAGUCACUUUGCCAUGUGCCUGCAGGAGGACAAAGAACUGCCGCUGUGAAGCUUAUGGCAAGGAGUCAACUUCACUGCCAGACAUCACUAAUUAUCAGCUCUGUGAUCACUGAUGUAUUUAAACACCUGAGAUUCAAGCAACUUUAUACCACAGAUGUAUGUAUAUGUGUGGAGUGCACUGUACAAGAGGGCAUGACUUGGUGGUCCUCGGGUACAGCUCCAGGCUGGCUGGUGCAGCCACCCCGGUGAUGUGGUGCUUGAGGAGAGCCUCACUUCUUGAUGCAGGGGGGCUGGGCUUAUGCCACUAUGAGAUAUGAAAUAAUAUGAAAGCUUUGACAUUCCUGCAAGGCUGAUUGGCUGGGGUGCACUGGCACAGUAGGGUCAGCAUGUGCACACCUGCAGUCCGUGUUGUCCAUAACCCUCGAGGUUUUUAAUCUUUCCUGUGUCCAGAUGUUGUCCCAAUGUGUCCAAGACAAAGAUAUGCUGCUUAUGCACUUUCAGUACAAUGAUUUCUUAGUGCAGCUUAGUUUUCCAUUCCCUUUCAGCCUUCUUUACUUCAUCCUUUUCCACAGUGAUAUCUUUCUGUUGUCCAGUUAUUACAGUAUUUAUGUACUGAGAGCCCUUAAGUGGUGGCUUUCUGGACUAGGUGACUCUUGAGUCAGGCAUUGAACAAAGCAAGGAGAAACCUUCUGCCUUUAGGUCAGUUACUCUCAAUCCCAUGGUCUCCCAGUUUCUGGAUUCAGUUCAUCCAUGUAUCUUAUCUGGCUGCUGGAAAUUCUUCAACACCUGUACUUCUAGACAUCAUAGGGCAAGACCCUGCUAGCCUUAUAAUGGGGGGCACAUCCUAUCUCACAGGUCUCCAUCAGGCUAUUGCAGCAGUAAACUGCAGCAUGAGAUGGAACACCCACAUCUCUCCUGUCUUCUUCCUCUUCUUUGCUGCUGCUUUUUACUUAAGAAUAUAGUUUAUUUGGUAACUAACCUCUUUUAUUUACCUGUUUGAGACUUUAGAAAAAGAAAGGCUGCUUUUUCCUGGCAUGCAUUUGCUUGGUCAAUGCAUUUUUGCAAACUUGUAUGUGACUGGGUCUGUCUUGAGAAAAUCCCAUUUCUCAGUUGGCCAGCAGAGAGAGCAGUCAGCAUUCAGUGGAUGGGCAGGUCGGGACAGAGGUGAUCUCCUGCACACUCAGCCUUGUCAGUAGCUGUUACAGUUUAAAAAAAUAAUUCUGACAGCAUUGCAGAGGUGAUUUGUAUCUCACAAUGUUGUGGAUGAAGGGUUACCUGUUGCCCUUGCCUGCCUGAACCUGUAAGGUCAGUGCAAGUCCUUCCUGCACAUCAAGGGCUAUAUGCCAGCUUCCAAACCACCUGCCAGUUUUUGGGGGACAUUCACAAUCCCUACCAAAAUGGGUGUAUGACACCUUAGAAUGUCUGACCAAUUGCUUUGCUAUCAAUUUAUGGACUUUGGAGGCUAAACUUGGGUACCUGGGAUGCUGCAAACUGAUCUGGACUGUUGAGGAGGCAAAGGGACACCAGGGUGUCCCUGAUCGGGACAUUUUGACCUAUAUGGCCUCCUCAUACCCUCACUGUCCAGCUAGAGCCUCAUGUGUGCUCUGAAGCACCAUUGAUCUCCAAGCAUCUACAGUAAAAUGGCUAUCUCUAGGGUCUGGUUGUCUGACGUUUUUUGUUAGAACGCAUUUGGUCCAAGUUUUCUCAUUUUUCAUGUUUUUUUUCACCCAUCUUUUCAGGAAACAAGGGUUGUAGACUGAAUGACCUGAGAAAGCUGUACCAGGGAAUGGGAAUGAGGUGUGAAAGUCCCACUGUGUCUGUACAGUAGUCACAGUUACCUCCCACCAAGUGCCUUGCAGAACCAUUACCGAGACACUGUCGAUGACCCAGGGGGUGGCUGUCCCCUGUGCCUGGCACGAGCCACGCUGCUGGAGGGGAGGACCUGCAGAGCAUCAGUUCACGCAUCACCUGGCGGAGCAGAUGGCUCCAGGUCUGGUGGGGCUGCCCUCAUAUGACACCUUGGAUUCACAGGCUUGGAGAAUCUCACCUCCUCUCGAGGCGAAACCUGUCUGGACGUAAAACACACAUUCAGGAGUUGGCCCAUUUGAGGCCAAGGUUAAUGAAGUGUACCCAAAGAGGGACUGUCUGGAAACUUCUGCCCAGGUUUGUGCCACUUCCCUAUGGAGCUCUGGUCUCUGGGAAGGUUUUCAUUUGUGAUCCUGGAGUCAGAAGUAAAGCACUCUGUACAUAUGCAGUCUUUCAAUAAGUUAAGUGCAGCUGCAGUAGGGGUUCUGGAAAAUCUCUUCAGUUUGACCUAAGAUAAACAAAUAUGGUUGCUUAAGUAUCCUCAGUGUUUCCUUAUACUUACAGUAGGAAAUACCUUGGAUACUGAGGGCAGUUAAAACAAAUCUUACUUAGUUAUCUAAGGCCUCUGGCAAGUCCCUGAGUUUCUGAGCAAGUUAAGCCACUUCCUUGGCAUGAGGUGUACCAAGCUUCAUUUUAUAGUAAUAAAAACAAGCAUUAAGGGCC
Long non-coding RNA from Pseudopipra pipra, 4312 nucleotides. RefSeq lists it as uncharacterized. NCBI's taxonomy places the organism in Eukaryota, Metazoa, Chordata, Aves, Passeriformes, Pipridae. The record is from RefSeq and is a predicted model, not a curated record. The transcript is spliced from 2 exons.